This 497-nucleotide ribosomal RNA is filed under the name uncultured bacterium. RNAcentral's name for it is "partial 16S ribosomal RNA". It matches the Rfam family "Bacterial small subunit ribosomal RNA", at positions 28 to 507 of the family's 1533-position model. The record is from RNAcentral.
GAUGAACGCUGGCGGCGUGCCUAAUACAUGCAAGUCGAGCGAACAGACGAGGAGCUUGCUCCUCUGACGUUAGCGGCGGACGGGUGAGUAACACGUGGAUAACCUACCUAUAAGACUGGGAUAACUUCGGGAAACCGGAGCUAAUACCGGAUAAUAUAUUGAACCGCAUGGUUCAAUAGUGAAAGACGGUUUUGCUGUCACUUAUAGAUGGAUCCGCGCCGCAUUAGCUAGUUGGUAAGGUAACGGCUUACCAAGGCGACGAUGCGUAGCCGACCUGAGAGGGUGAUCGGCCACACUGGAACGGGGACACGGUCCAGACGCCUACGGGAGGCAGCAGUAGGGAAUCUUCCGCAAUGGGCGAAAGCCUGACGGAGCAACGCCGCGUGAGUGAUGAAGGUCUUCGGAUCGUAAAACUCUGUUAUGAGGGAAGAACAAAUGUGUAAGUAACUAUGCACGUCUUGACGGUACCUAAUCAGAAAGCCACGGCUAACUACGUG